GACUACUGGGGUAUCUAAGCCUGUUUGCUUCCCACGCUUUCGCGUCUCAGCGUCGGUAUCUGCCCAGAGAGCCGCCUUCGCCACUGGUGUUCCUCCCGAUAUCUACGAAUUUCACCUCUACACCGGGAAUUCCGCUCUCCUCUUCAGAACCCAAGUCCGGCAGUAUCGAGCGCACUUCCGGGGUUGAGCCCCGGGAUUUCACGUCCGACUUACCAGACCGCCUACACGCGCUUUACGCCCAGUAAUUCCGAGCAACGUUUGCAUCCUCUGUCUUACCGCGGCUGCUGGCACAGAGUUAGCCGAUGCUUGCUAAAGGAGUACCGUCAGGCACGGAGGGUAUUCGCCCCCGUACGGUUCGUUCUCCCCCACAGGGCUUUACAACCCGAAGGCCUUCUUCGCCCACGCGGCGUCGCUGCGUCAGGCUUUCGCCCAUUGCGCAAGAUUCCCCACUGCUGCCUCCCGUAGG
RNAcentral lists this ribosomal RNA (466 nucleotides) under uncultured Myxococcales bacterium. RNAcentral's name for it is "partial 16S ribosomal RNA". Lineage: Bacteria; Pseudomonadati; Myxococcota; Myxococcia; Myxococcales. The record is from RNAcentral.